This 494-nucleotide ribosomal RNA is filed under the name uncultured bacterium. RNAcentral's name for it is "partial 16S ribosomal RNA". It matches the Rfam family "Bacterial small subunit ribosomal RNA", at positions 29 to 507 of the family's 1533-position model. The record is from RNAcentral.
AUGAACGCUGGCGGCGUGCCUAAUACAUGCAAGUAGAACGCUGAAGGAGGAGCUUGCUCUUCUGGAUGAGUUGCGAACGGGUGAGUAACGCGUAGGUAACCUGCCUGGUAGCGGGGGAUAACUAUUGGAAACGAUAGCUAAUACCGCAUGACAACAGUUAUUGCAUGAUAACUGUUUAAAAGGGGCAACUGCUCCACUACCAGAUGGACCUGCGUUGUUUUAGCUAGUUGGUGAGGUAACGGCUCACCAAGGCGACGAUACAUAGCCGACCUGAGAGGGUGAUCGGCCACACUGGGACUGAGACACGGCCCAGACUCCUACGGGAGGCAGCAGUAGGGAAUCCUCGGCAAUGGACGGAAGUCUGACCGAGCAACGCCGCGUGAGUGAAGAAGGUUUUCGGAUCGUAAAGCUCUGUUGUAAGAGAAGAACGAGUGUGAGAGUGGAAAGUUCACACUGUGACGGUAUCUUACCAGAAAGGGACGGCUAACUACGUG